CCUAGGGGGGGCAGCAGUGGGGAAUAUUGGACAAUGGGCGAAAGCCUGAUCCAGCCAUGCCGCGUGUGUGAAGAAGGCCUUCGGGUUGUAAAGCACUUUCAGUGGGGAAGAAAGCCUUGGGGCUAAUACCCUCGAGGAAGGACAUCACCCACAGAAGAAGCACCGGCUAACUCCGUGCCAGCAGCCGCGGUAAUACGGAGGGUGCGAGCGUUAAUCGGAAUUACUGGGCGUAAAGCGCGCGUAGGCGGUCUGAUAAGCCGGUUGUGAAAGCCCCGGGCUCAACCUGGGAACGGCAUCCGGAACUGUCAGGCUAGAGUGCAGGAGAGGAAGGUAGAAUUCCCGGUGUAGCGGUGAAAUGCGUAGAGAUCGGGAGGAAUACCAGUGGCGAAGGCGGCCUUCUGGACUGACACUGACGCUGAGGUGCGAAAGCGUGGGUAGCAAACAGGAUUAGAUACCCUAGUAGUC
Molecule: ribosomal RNA, 465 nt
Filed under: Vreelandella stevensii
Lineage: Bacteria; Pseudomonadati; Pseudomonadota; Gammaproteobacteria; Oceanospirillales; Halomonadaceae
Description: partial 16S ribosomal RNA
Rfam family: Bacterial small subunit ribosomal RNA
Source: RNAcentral